UGGGGAAUUUUGGACAAUGGGCGAAAGCCUGAUCCAGCCAUUCCGCGUGCAGGAUGAAGGCCCUCGGGUUGUAAACUGCUUUUGUACGGAACGAAAAAGCUCCGGCUAAUACCUGGAGUCCAUGACGGUACCGUAAGAAUAAGCACCGGCUAACUACGUGCCAGCAGCCGCGGUAAUACGUAGGGUGCAAGCGUUAAUCGGAAUUACUGGGCGUAAAGCGUGCGCAGGCGGUUUUGUAAGACAGAGGUGAAAUCCCCGGGCUCAACCUGGGAACUGCCUUUGUGACUGCAAGGCUGGAGUGCGGCAGAGGGGGAUGGAAUUCCGCGUGUAGCAGUGAAAUGCGUAGAUAUGCGGAGGAACACCGAUGGCGAAGGCAAUCCCCUGGGCCUGCACUGACGCUCAUGCACGAAAGCGUGGGGAGCAAACA
This 427-nucleotide ribosomal RNA is filed under the name uncultured prokaryote. RNAcentral's name for it is "bacterial SSU rRNA". It matches the Rfam family "Bacterial small subunit ribosomal RNA", at positions 355 to 774 of the family's 1533-position model. The record is from RNAcentral.